GGCCUGGCCAGCAUGGGAAUAAAGAUGUGUCCGAGCAGAAAUCCGACGUGCUCCACAGCCAGGAGUACCGAGACGAUUUCAGCUACCGGAGCGAGGACGACGGUCCGGACCAUGCUCAACGCCACCAGAAGGCCGUUCCACCCCGUUUCCAAAAGCAGCAGCAGGAUCAGGUGUAUAAGAUGCAGCAGUGGCAGCAGUCUGGUUCUGGUCCUGCUCAGAGGAGUUAUUACCCCCCUCACGUGCUCGGGUUUGACCCCCGCUGGAUGAUGAUGCCCCCUUACAUGGACCCACGCAUGACCCAGGGACGCUCGACUG
Molecule: long non-coding RNA, 315 nt
Organism: Ictalurus punctatus (channel catfish)
Lineage: Eukaryota; Metazoa; Chordata; Actinopteri; Siluriformes; Ictaluridae
Source: Ensembl